UCUCGAUUGGUCUAGUGGUCAGGAUACCUGCUUGUCAUGUAGUAAUAUCAUGUCGUCAAGCGUGAUAUUUGUUAUGUACAAUACGCAGGUGGCCGGGGUUCGAUUCCCCGAUCGAGAG
This 118-nucleotide transfer RNA is filed under the name Hypoxylon rubiginosum. RNAcentral describes it as "tRNA-Asp". It matches the Rfam family "tRNA". Rfam says of the family: Transfer RNA (tRNA) molecules are approximately 80 nucleotides in length. Their secondary structure includes four short double-helical elements and three loops (D, anti-codon, and T loops). Further hydrogen bonds mediate the characteristic L-shaped molecular structure. tRNAs have two regions of fundamental functional importance: the anti-codon, which is responsible for specific mRNA codon recognition, and the 3' end, to which the tRNAs corresponding amino acid is attached (by aminoacyl-tRNA synthetases). tRNAs cope with the degeneracy of the genetic code in two manners: having more than one tRNA (with a specific anti-codon) for a particular amino acid; and 'wobble' base-pairing, i.e. permitting non-standard base-pairing at the 3rd anti-codon position. The record is from RNAcentral. Lineage: Eukaryota; Fungi; Ascomycota; Sordariomycetes; Xylariales; Hypoxylaceae.